AGAAUGGGUGAAGGAAUUAAAGCGACAUGUACAUAUUAAUAAAUGCCGAGAUUUAGAUAAAAAGAAAGGAGAUUUUGAUGAAAGUAAUUUGCAAGAAUUGUAUGACAUAUUGACUAAAGAAGAAAUACCCCCUUGGGAUAUACUUGGUGCAUCUUUGGGCCUUUUAAAUGGUACACUAAAAAGAAUUCAAAGCUACAGUGAGAAUAAUGAAAUUCGUUUGAGGGAGUGCUUAUUGCACUGGUUAAAAUGGAGUGAUUGUGUUGACGAUACAGGAGGACCUACAUGUGACAAUCUAAAAGAAGCCUUGACAUGUAUAGGGAAACCAGAAAUUGCAAAAAGACUCGAUGAAAAAGUCUCAAAAACUAAAGAUACUCCCUACAGUAUACAAGAUAUUAAAGAAGAUG
Amphimedon queenslandica is the source of this 404-nucleotide long non-coding RNA. RefSeq lists it as uncharacterized. Lineage: Eukaryota; Metazoa; Porifera; Demospongiae; Haplosclerida; Niphatidae. The record is from RefSeq and is a predicted model, not a curated record. The transcript has 4 exons.